AUUGUAAUUUUCAGCUGCUAAUGGUCAACAGUUUUCGCUGCCCGUGUCCAGUUUGCAAAAUUUGCAGCAAGUUAGAACUGUUGGCAAUAUAGGAGGACUGGGCAACAUCAUCCAGCUGCCCAAUAUACAGACUGUUCCAACCAUACAAAAUAUUCCAGGAUUAGGCAAUGUGCAAGUGAUAACGCAGCAGCAACCGCAACUGUCCGUAGGACAACAGAUUCAGCAGGACCCCAACGAUCCGACUAAAUGGCAGAUUGUCCCCCAAGUUACGGCUAACGCGGCCCCUCAAGUUGCGACCCCAAUUAGUGUGAGUACCGUAGAAACGCAGCCUGCCGCCUCCCCAACUUCAACCGAUAUGAACCAGGGCGAGCAAAAGCAGAGAGUGAGAAGAGUGGCUUGCACAUGUCCAAACUGCCAAGAAGGAGAGAGGCAUCCGGAUCGAAAAAAACAGCACAUUUGCCAUAUACCUGGAUGC
Long non-coding RNA from Dendroctonus ponderosae (mountain pine beetle), 475 nucleotides. RefSeq lists it as uncharacterized. The record is from RefSeq and is a predicted model, not a curated record. The transcript is spliced from 3 exons. Lineage: Eukaryota; Metazoa; Arthropoda; Insecta; Coleoptera; Curculionidae.